This 505-nucleotide ribosomal RNA is filed under the name uncultured bacterium. RNAcentral describes it as "partial 16S ribosomal RNA". It matches the Rfam family "Bacterial small subunit ribosomal RNA", at positions 28 to 507 of the family's 1533-position model. The record is from RNAcentral.
GACGAACGCUGGCGGCGUGCCUAAUACAUGCAAGUAGAACGCACAGUUUAUACCGUAGCUUGCUACACCAUAGACUGUGAGUUGCGAACGGGUGAGUAACGCGUAGGUAACCUGCCUGGUAGCGGGGGAUAACUAUUGGAAACGAUAGCUAAUACCGCAUAAUAUUAAUUAUUGCAUGAUAAUUAAUUGAAAGGUGCAAUUGCACCACUACCAGAUGGACCUGCGUUGUAUUAGCUAGUAGGUGAGGUAACGGCUCACCUAGGCGACGAUACAUAGCCGAACUGGGAGGGUGGUCGGCCAAACUGGGACUGAGACACGGCCCAGACUCCUACGGGAGGCAGCAGUAGGGAAUCUUCGGGAAUGGACGAAAGUCUGGCCGAGCAACGCCGCGUGAGUGAAGAAGGUUUUCGGAUCGUAAAGCUCUGUUGUAAGAGAAGAACGGGUGUGAGAGUGGAAAGUUCACACUGUGACGGUAUCUUACCAGAAAGGGACGGCUAACUACGUG